Stomoxys calcitrans (stable fly) is the source of this 47-nucleotide non-coding RNA. Lineage: Eukaryota; Metazoa; Arthropoda; Insecta; Diptera; Muscidae. The record is from Rfam.
CCAUCGACUCUAUUAAGAGGCACCAAAUACAAAGAUUAGAAAUAAAU